This 472-nucleotide ribosomal RNA is filed under the name uncultured bacterium. Its description in RNAcentral is "partial 16S ribosomal RNA". It matches the Rfam family "Bacterial small subunit ribosomal RNA", at positions 28 to 507 of the family's 1533-position model. The record is from RNAcentral.
GACGAACGCUGGCGGCGUGCUUAACACAUGCAAGUCGAACGAUGAACCCGGAGCUUGCUCUGGGGGAUUAGUGGCGAACGGGUGAGUAACACGUGAGUAACCUGCCCUGGACUCUGGGAUAAGCGUUGGAAACGACGUCUAAUACCGGAUAGGACCUUGGAUCGCAUGAUCUGGGGUGGAAAGUUUUUUCGGUCUGGGAUGGACUCGCGGCCUAUCAGCUUGUUGGUGAGGUAAUGGCUCACCAAGGCGUCGACGGGUAGCCGGCCUGAGAGGGUGACCGGCCACACUGGGACUGAGACACGGCACAGACUCCUACGGGAGGCAGCAGUAGGGAAUAUUGCACAAUGGGCGAAGGCCUGAUGCAGCAACGCCGCGUGCGGGAUGACGGCCUUCGGGUUGUAAACCGCUUUUAGUAGGGAAGAAGGGCUUCGGCUUGACGGUACCUGCAGAAAAAGGACCGGCUAACUACAUG